RNAcentral lists this ribosomal RNA (295 nucleotides) under uncultured soil bacterium. Its description in RNAcentral is "partial 16S ribosomal RNA". It matches the Rfam family "Bacterial small subunit ribosomal RNA", at positions 26 to 346 of the family's 1533-position model. The record is from RNAcentral.
AGAACGAACGCUGGCGGCAUGCCUAACACAUGCAAGUCGAACGAGACCUUCGGGUCUAGUGGCGCACGGGUGCGUAACGCGUGGGAAUCUGCCCUUGGGUUCGGAAUAACAGCGAGAAAUUGCUGCUAAUACCGGAUGAUGACGUAAGUCCAAAGAUUUAUCGCCCAAGGAUGAGCCCGCGUAGGAUUAGCUUGUUGGUGAGGUAAGAGCUCACCAAGGCGACGAUCCUUAGCUGGUCUGAGAGGAUGAUCAGCCACACUGGGACUGAGACACGGGCCCAGACCUCCGUACGGGA